This 253-nucleotide ribosomal RNA is filed under the name uncultured bacterium. Its description in RNAcentral is "partial 16S ribosomal RNA". It matches the Rfam family "Bacterial small subunit ribosomal RNA", at positions 524 to 776 of the family's 1533-position model. The record is from RNAcentral.
UACGAAGGGUGCUAGCGUUGUUCGGAAUUAUUGGGCGUAAAGCGUGCGUAGGCGGCUUUGUAAGUCGAUUGUGAAAGCCCGGGGCUCAACCCUGGAAUUGCAAUCGAAACUGCAUUGCUGGAGUAUGGUAGAGGACAGUGGAAUUCCUAGUGUAGGGGUGAAAUCCGUAGAUACUAGGAGGAAUAUCAGAAGCGAAGGCGACUGUCUGGACCAUUACUGACGCUGAGGCACGAAAGCGUGGGGAGCAAACAGG